RNAcentral lists this long non-coding RNA (700 nucleotides) under Homo sapiens (human). RNAcentral's name for it is "HSALNT0326612". Lineage: Eukaryota; Metazoa; Chordata; Mammalia; Primates; Hominidae. The record is from RNAcentral.
CAGAAGAGAAUGACACUGUGCUAGAUGGAUUUCAGUUGUCCUUCCAGAUCUGCUCUCCACUUCUCCACACUGGCCAGCACCCUUCAUGUGCUGCUCACAAAGCCGAGAGCCACAGAGGAGCACACGGGUUAGUGCACUAGCAACUGAAGUUAGGAAGGCUCGGGUGGACGCUGCCAACCAGCAAUCCAAUCUGCCUGAUGGCCAACCCUUUGACUGCUGGGAGCCUGGAGCUUUCUGAAUCAGACAACUUCCAGACUUCACAUGUGCUGCCAAGCACAAGAUAUAUUCUGGAAAAGAAGAGGAGGAGGAAGAAGAAUGACUGUAAAGGAAGGAGCAGUACUGUUUUCAUGAGGACCUACUAUGUGCCAGACAUUAUUCUAGGUGCUGGGGCUACCAUGGGAAACUUGCAGCUACUUGGGAGGCUAAGGUGGGAAGAUCGCUUGAGCCCAGGAGGUCGAGGCUGCGGUGAACCAAGAUUGUGACACUGCACUCCAGCCUGGGCAACAGAUGCUGUGUGAAGAUGAAGGCAGAGAUCAGGCUGAUGCUUAUGGAAAGCCAGAGAUUGCCAACAAACCACCAAAAGCUAGGAGAGAGGCCUGGAACAGAUUCUCUCUGAGUCCUCAGAAGGAACCAACCCUGCCAACACUGUGAUCUUGGACUUCUAAACCCCAGAACUGUGAAAUAAUAAAUGUCUGAUGUC